Molecule: long non-coding RNA, 332 nt
Organism: Lampris incognitus (smalleye Pacific opah)
Lineage: Eukaryota; Metazoa; Chordata; Actinopteri; Lampriformes; Lampridae
Exons: 3
Source: RefSeq, a predicted model, not a curated record
UGGAGAGAGAACUUGCUGUUGAGUUUUUCACACCAAAGCGAUCUAGAUGGAUAAAUAGCACCACAGUUGUACCCGGCCAAUUACCCUAUUUUCUGAGCCAUGUGGGAGGAUCACGCUAUUCCCUCAGUUCCCCCUCCCCCCUGAACAGGCGCCCCGACUGACCAGAGGAGACGCUAGUGCAGCGACCAGGACACACACCCACAUCCGGAUUCCCACCUGCAGACACGGCCAAUUGUGUCUGUGGGGACGCCCGACCAAGCCGGAGUGCAGCCUCCAGCCUGUGAGCCCUCCACCUCUCUCUAUGCUACAACAUCGCCUGCGCCACAACUGGC